ACCUCGGUGCAGGGUUGCUGUGCCAACAAUGACAAAAGGCUCUUGGAAGUUGGGCAAGGCUAACACAGGUAUUUGUGUCAUUGUUUUCUUUACUUUGUCAAAUGCUAGUUGUGCUUCAGGGGACCACUAGAAGGCCUUUUUGCUGAGCAAAGUGUUGAGAGGUUGAGUGAGUAAGCCAUACCCUUUUAUGAAUCUCCUGUAGUAUCCAGUUAGUCCUAAGAAACCUCUUAAUUCUGUGACAGAUGUUGGAACUGGCCAGUUUUGCAUAUCUUGAAUCUUUCUAGGAUCAGUAGAGACCCAUAUGAUAUGGCCCAAGUAAGAGAUGCUUUGUUGAGCAAAUGAACAUUUAGAUUCUUUCAGGUAUAAUUGGUUCUGCCUGAGAAGCUCAAAAACCUCCUGUAAAUGUACCAGGUGGUCAUCCAGGGUAGGGCUGUAGAUCAGGAUGCCAUCUAAAAAUACCAGGACACAUUUCCUCAGGUAAGGUUGCAGGAUGUGGUUCAUGAGGCACUGAAAUGUAGCUGGAGCAUUUGUUAACCCAAAUGGCAUGACCUUGUACUGGUAAUGGCCCUGAUGGGUUUUGAAAGUUGUUUUAUACUCAUCUGCAGGGUCCAUUCGCACCUGAUGAUAGCCAGAUUUCAUAUCCAACUUGGUGAAGUAUUUGGUACCAGCCAGCUCAUCAAGAAUUUCUUCAAUGAUUGGCAUUGGAAAUCUGUUCUUGAUAGUUAGAGCAUUGAGCUUUCUGUAAUCCAGACAAAGUCUCCAGGUACCAUCCUUCUUUUUCACUAGCAAUACUGGGGAUGCAAAGGGGCUUUUGCUGUGUGUAAUGAAUCCAGAUUGCAGUAAUUCCUGCACUUGCUGCUCAAUUUCAGUUUUAUGAUGAGGAGAGUAGUGAUAUGGUUUGCUAUUGACAGGGACAGAACCAGGGUAUAAUGGGAUAGCAUGGUCAUGGGUUCUGUGAGGUGGCAGCAUAGUAGGUGUUUGAAAAAUGUCCUUGUAUUGCAAGAGGAGGUGUUGAAUCUGCUCAGGUACUGUUGCUGUUUUGUCCAUGUGAUGAUGUUGUUCAACCAGGACAAAGGCCCACACCUCAUUGCCUUUAGCCAUUUUGUGAGCUUUAGUAGCUGAGAUUGUGUUCACCUCCCUGAUUGGAGUAUGUAGUCCUUUCAGAGUGAUUGAUUUUCCAUCUUCUAUGAAAGUCAUUGUUUUCUGAUCCCAGUCAAAAGUCAUAUGUGGAUGUGCUUCAAGCCAGUCAUACCCCAAAAUUGCAUCAUAAGGUUGCAUAUCCAACACUAUCAUGUUACUUGUCAUAGUAUGCCCUUGACAGUACCAUUUCAUGUUUGCUGCCAUACUGUUUGUAGUGAUAGUGUUGCCAUUGGCUAACUUAACUCUUUUAGGUUGAGUUGGGCUUACUGGUAAGUCUGUCAUAUCUGCAAACUGCUUGCUGACAAAGCUAUGGGAGCUUCCACUAUCCAGUAGGACCAACAUCACCUUGUCUUUUACUUUCGCUUUGAAUUUUAGGCAGGCAAGGUUGUCCUUUGUGGUGAUGGCAUUGAGGGAAAGCUGACAGAAUUGUUCAUUAAGCUCAUCUUCUGUGGCCAGUGCAUUGAGGAUUUCAUCAG
This 1616-nucleotide long non-coding RNA is filed under the name Sorghum bicolor (sorghum). RNAcentral's name for it is "long non-coding RNA (SBIC_LNC002564)". The record is from RNAcentral. Lineage: Eukaryota; Viridiplantae; Streptophyta; Magnoliopsida; Poales; Poaceae.